GAGAAAAUCCCUUUAAAUAGGCAAAAGGUUUGAAUCAUAUUCAAAACCAAAUAGACCCUUAAUACAAGUCUUACCUGCAUUAGGAAUCCUUAUAGCCUUAGAUAUUUGACUUCCUUUAGGAGAUCCAUUAGGUGGCAACUAUUGGAGCCUUUGCACCUACUUUUUUACACACUAUAUGGAGGUUAGGGGACGCCCCAUGUUGGUCCCACACAUCUUUUUUAAGGUGGGCAUGCCCAACUUGAUUAAAUCAAGUGGCGCUCCAUACAAACAAUCAAAAAAAUUGAUUAAAGAUUUGAUCCCUUAAUUUAUAUGAUCCAAAACUCUAAGCACCCAAUAAUUGAAGCCUAAUAAAUCUAAUUUAUUUAGAUUAUUAGCAAGUAAUUAACUUGAAUUAAUCUUAUUAAAUAAAAAUUUAAAAAAAAGAGAAAAUUAGAUUCAACCAUGUGCUAGCAAGAUUAUUCUGAACCCAAUAGGAUUUUUCUAAAUCCAAUUGAGACUUCAUAAAUCUAAUUACUUAUUCCAGAUCUAAUCCAUUUGUUGUGUGAUCCUAUAGGUUCAAUUCUAUCUGAUAGUGAGAUAUACUGUGAUCUCUAUUAUAGUAUUAUUGAAACUCUUUUUAAUAGGUUGGAAUAAUUUCACUCUAACUCAUCAAAGAUUGUCAAUCUUGAGUAAUUCUAGUAAGCUCUUACAAUCCACUAGUGACAC
This 705-nucleotide long non-coding RNA is filed under the name Elaeis guineensis (African oil palm). Its description in RNAcentral is "long non-coding RNA (EGUI_LNC038529)". The record is from RNAcentral. Lineage: Eukaryota; Viridiplantae; Streptophyta; Magnoliopsida; Arecales; Arecaceae.